CUAGUAAUCGCGGAUCAGCAUGCUGCGGUGAACUACGUUCCGGGCCUUGUACACACCGCCCGUCACACCAUGGGAGUUUGUAACGCCCAAAGUCGGUGGCCUAACCUUUAUGGAGGGAGCCGC
RNAcentral lists this ribosomal RNA (123 nucleotides) under Limosilactobacillus reuteri. RNAcentral's name for it is "Lactobacillus reuteri partial 16S ribosomal RNA". It matches the Rfam family "Bacterial small subunit ribosomal RNA", at positions 1335 to 1456 of the family's 1533-position model. Lineage: Bacteria; Bacillati; Bacillota; Bacilli; Lactobacillales; Lactobacillaceae. The record is from RNAcentral.